GGAGGAUUGGGUGAGUGGUUUAAACCAACAGUUUACUAAACUGUCGUCUGGGAAACCGGACCGUGAGUUCAAAUCUCACAUCCUCCGCCC
Molecule: transfer RNA, 90 nt
Filed under: Candidatus Tayloriibacteriota bacterium
Lineage: Bacteria; Candidatus Tayloriibacteriota
Description: tRNA-Ser
Rfam family: tRNA
About the family: Transfer RNA (tRNA) molecules are approximately 80 nucleotides in length. Their secondary structure includes four short double-helical elements and three loops (D, anti-codon, and T loops). Further hydrogen bonds mediate the characteristic L-shaped molecular structure. tRNAs have two regions of fundamental functional importance: the anti-codon, which is responsible for specific mRNA codon recognition, and the 3' end, to which the tRNAs corresponding amino acid is attached (by aminoacyl-tRNA synthetases). tRNAs cope with the degeneracy of the genetic code in two manners: having more than one tRNA (with a specific anti-codon) for a particular amino acid; and 'wobble' base-pairing, i.e. permitting non-standard base-pairing at the 3rd anti-codon position.
Source: RNAcentral